This is a long non-coding RNA of Papaver somniferum (opium poppy), 2638 nucleotides long. RefSeq lists it as uncharacterized. The transcript has 3 exons. The record is from RefSeq and is a predicted model, not a curated record. Lineage: Eukaryota; Viridiplantae; Streptophyta; Magnoliopsida; Ranunculales; Papaveraceae.
UCCCAAUUUGUUUAGUUUUGAUCCCAAAGAAAAUUAUUUUUCUUUUAAUUUUAAUGUUUAUCAAAAAGAUUUGGUUUGAUUUUCCUUUUCCUCUGAUUUCACCCUCCCCUAAUUUCUCUCGGUGUCGUUCUUGCACAUUAAAAUUAUGUAGAUCUCCUGAUCAUGAUCUACCUUCGUAUUCUAAUUUUAAUGUUUAUCAAUCCUCAUAUUGUUUUGGUCAUUGUUGGUUGGAUUUUAUUUUGAUUUCUACACUUACAAUGGUUUUUGUCAUUGAAGUUUGUUAACAGAACUAACCAGAACUGCUGCACAUUUACAUUCUAUGCAAUGCACAACUUAGAAAUGAACAACUACGACCCUUUAUGGUGUGUAGGAGUUUCACUACCUCUCUUUUAAUAUGCCGUUAUAUGGUUUAUCUCAACUUAUUUUCAAUUUUGCGUUCCUUAUUUAAUUUGUAAUGUGUUAUUUAGGGUAGAUCCAUUGUGCAUCUCCAUUUUCAUAACCAAAAUCCUUCUUAGGCUUUGAUCCAUUGUGCAUCUCCAUUAUCCCAGGUUUGAAUCACUUUUAUUUUGAUUGAUUAUUUUUUUGAAGCAUAUUAUGAUUGAUUGAUAAAAUUAUUGUUACUUUUUUUCAAUUUGUUUAAUUUUGAUCCCAAAGAAAAUUAUUUUUCUUCUAAAUUUAAUGUUUCUCAAAAAGAUUUGGUUUGAUCUUCUUUAUCCUCUAAUUUCACACUCCCCUAAUUUCUCUCGGUGUCGUUCUUGCACAUUAAAAUUAUGUAGAUCUCCUGAUCAUGAUCUACCUUCGUAUUCUAAUUUUAAUGUUUAUCAAUCCUCAUAUUGGUUUGGCCAUUGUUGGUUGGAUUUUAUUUUGAUUUCUACACUUACAAUGGUUUUUGUCAUUGAAGUUUGUUAACAGAACUAACCAGAACUGCUGCACAUUUACAUUCUAUGCAAUGCACAACUUAGAAAUGAACAACUACGACCCUUUAUGAUGUGUAGGAGUUUCACUACCUCUCUUUUAAUAUGCCGUUAUAUGGUUUAUCUCAACUUAUUUUCAAUUUUGCGUUCCUUAUUUAAUUUGUAAUGUGUUAUUUAGGGUAGAUCCAUUGUGCAUCUCCAUUUUCAUAACCAAAAUCCUUCUUAGGCUUUGAUCCAUUGUGCAUCUCCAUUAUCCCAGGUUUGAAUCACUUUUAUUUUGAUUGAUUAUUUUUUUGAAGCAUGUUAUGAUUGAUUGAUAAAAUUAUUGUUACUUUUUUUCAAUUUGUUUAAUUUUGAUCCCAAAGAAAAUUAUUUUUCUUCUAAAUUUAAUGUUUCUCAAAAAGAUUUGGUUUGAUCUUCUUUUUCCUCUAAUUUCACACUCCCCUAAUUUCUCUCGGUGUCGUUCUUGCACAUUAAAAUUAUGUAGAUCUCCUGAUCAUGAUCUACCUUCGUAUUCUAAUUUUAAUGUUUAUCAAUCCUCAUAUUGGUUUGGCCAUUGUUGGUUGGAUUUUAUUUUGAUUUCUACACUUACAAUGGUUUUUGUCAUUGAAGUUUGUUAACAGAACUAACCAGAACCGCUGAACAUUUACAUUCUAUGCAAUGUACAACUUAGAAAUGAACAACUACGACCCUUUAUGCCGUGUAGGAGUUUCACUACCUCUCUUUUAAUAUACCUUUAUAUGGUUUAUCUCAACUUAUUUUCAAUUUUGCGCUCCUUAUUUAAUUUGUAAUGUGAUAUUUAGGGUAGAUCCAUUGUGCAUCUCCAUUUUCAUAACCAAAUCCUUCUUAGGCUUUGAUCCAUUGCGCAUCUCCAUUAUCCCAGUUUGUUAACAGAACUAACCAGAACUGCUGCACAUUUACAUUCUAUGCAAUGUACAACUUAGAAAUGAACGUAAGGGUAAAACAAUGGCUUGAGCUACAACCCUUUAUGUUUUGUAUGAGUUUCACUACCUCUCUUUUAACAUAACUUUAUAUGGUUUUUCUCAACCUAUUUUCAAUUUUGCGUUCCUUAUUUAAUUUUUAUUUGUGUUGUUUAGGGUAGAAUUCCGGUGUUUAAUUCAUUUUUUAUUAUGAAUAUGUUUUGCAAGGUACUGGCUAGCUUUUCCUUCAGAUGAAAUCUAUAUGAAGGAAAUUAAAUCUACAUAACGUCAAACUUCAGGGACGGACCCAGGAAAGAAGGUCCGGGCUAGAAGCCUUGGUCGAGCAAAAAAUAAAAAUUGGCUUGUGGACUGGGAAGCCUACCCGGACUAAAGCCCCCUUUAGCCCAGCUGUAGGUCCGUCAUUGCUACAAACAAAUUAUUGUAUUUGACUCUUACAUAUUUGAUGGUUCACACUGAUAUUCAGAAUCCAGAGUUAUGUGUAGUGCGAAAAGGAAGUCUGAAAUUUGGGGUUAUCAAAAUGGUAUCUAUGUUCAUCUACUCUAAAUUUAAGGAAGUUUGAAAUCGAGGAUUAGUGUUGUGUCCUGUCUAAAUUUGUAUGUCCAUACUGUUUUUGGUAUCAUAUAAUUGUCACUUUUGGAUUCAUUUUCGCUGAAAUGGUAUCCGUUUUCAUUUUUUUGAUUGGUUUUCAAAAUGGUAUGCGUGUUCAUCUACUUUAAAUUUAAAGUACAACCUAUGCUCUGCUGAUUUUCUAGAAAGUAGAUUGAGUUUAGUACUGAAUGUGUU